UCCUUUGAGAGUUUAGACAUUCAUGGAGGAGUACAUUGAGUAAAUUUCUAGCAAUUUCAGACAAGGUAUAUAUAGGUGUAUGAUCAUCGAAUAUAUAUAUAUAAAAGAUUUUAGAAAAUUUCAAGAUACCCAUAUUUAUCACUUAAACAUAUAACAAGAAAAAAAAAAGGUGAAUAAUGAUUCAGUAAGCAAUUUAUGUAAGAAAACUUACACCAAAGAAAUGGAAGGUAGCUUUUGCAUACCUGUGAAGAACUACGCACAAAUUAACGAUGAACAAAGAAAUUGAAGGGUAUCUUGUCACAAGGCGACGGCACUAAGCUAAGCUAAGGGGAGGAAAAGCAAAGCAUAUAUAAAACCCUCAGUGCCAUCUCUCCUGCGACAAGAUUCCCCCAAUCUCCUCUUUAUUUCCUUUGGAUUUCUAGCUUUCG
Molecule: long non-coding RNA, 428 nt
Filed under: Gossypium barbadense (sea-island cotton)
Lineage: Eukaryota; Viridiplantae; Streptophyta; Magnoliopsida; Malvales; Malvaceae
Description: long non-coding RNA (GBAR_LNC007937)
Source: RNAcentral